This is a long non-coding RNA of Trichoplusia ni (cabbage looper), 585 nucleotides long. RefSeq lists it as uncharacterized. Lineage: Eukaryota; Metazoa; Arthropoda; Insecta; Lepidoptera; Noctuidae. The transcript is spliced from 2 exons. The record is from RefSeq and is a predicted model, not a curated record.
CAAUGUAACAUUGCUUUGAAAGCUGAAGUUGCUAUUCGUAAGGUACGAAUUAACAAUACCGUCCUUACAAGGCGAGCCAGGAUGUUAUUCUAUUGAUCUCGGAUCAUCGACCUCCGUGAGCGCCCUCGCUUUGACAGAUUGUCAUCCCAGCAAAAUAAAUCAUGUUUAAUAAAGAUCAAGGUUAAUAUUUUGUUAUAUAAGCUUAGGACAUCUGAAGCUCAGCACGAUUCAGUCAACUGUAUCAAACAAACAAGAUGUUCGCUAAAAUCUUUGCCCUCUUCGCUCUGCUGGCGGUGGCGUUCGCGGCGCCGAGCCCCAACCCGCAGGUCAUCACCUACUCCAAUGGAGUGGACUACGUGUACCCUGGAGCUGGUUUCGCCCCAACCGUCUACUCUGCAUACAACGCUCCGGUAGCCUACUCCGGAUACCCUGGUUACGCUGCCCCAGUCUUCGUGCGGUGAUAACAUCCUGACGCACACCAACCAUCUCUACAAAAUACCACAAAACGGACCUGCUUAUAAUUUCUAUGUUAAAUUGUAUGCAGAUGAAUCCCCUGUCAUCUUGAGCAAAUAAAUGUCAAUACAA